UACAGAGGUCUCAAGCGUUGUUCGGAUUCAUUGGGCGUAAAGGGUGCGUAGGCGGCGCGGUAAGUCGGGUGUGAAAUCUCGGAGCUUAACUCCGAAACUGCAUUCGAUACUGCCGUGCUUGAGGACUGGAGAGGAGACUGGAAUUUACGGUGUAGCGGUGAAAUGCGUAGAUAUCAGGAGGAACACCGGUGGCGAAGGCGGGUCUCUGGACAGUUCCUGACGCUGAGGCACGAAGGUCAGGGGAGCAAACGGG
This 253-nucleotide ribosomal RNA is filed under the name uncultured bacterium. Its description in RNAcentral is "partial 16S ribosomal RNA". It matches the Rfam family "Bacterial small subunit ribosomal RNA", at positions 524 to 776 of the family's 1533-position model. The record is from RNAcentral.